GGGUUGUGAGGUUAAGCGACUAAGCGUACACGGUGGAUGCCCUGGCAGUCAGAGGCGAUGAAGGACGUGCUAAUCUGCGAAAAGCGUCGGUAAGGUGAUAUGAACCGUUACAGCCGGCGAUGUCCGAAUGGGGAAACCCAGUGCAAUUCGUUGCACUAUCGUUAACUGAAUACAUAGGUUAACGAGGCGAACCGGGGGAACUGAAACAUCUAAGUACCCCGAGGAAAAGAAAUCAACCGAGAUUCCCCCAGUAGCGGCGAGCGAACGGGGAGCAGCCCAGAGUCUGAAUCAGCUUGUGUGUUAGUGGAACGGUCUGGAAAGUCCGACGGUACAGGGUGAUAGUCCCGUACACCAAAAUGCACAGGCUGUGAACUCGAAGAGUAGGGCGGGACACGUGGUAUCCUGUCUGAAUAUGGGGGGACCAUCCUCCAAGGCUAAAUACUCCUGACUGACCGAUAGUGAACCAGUACCGUGAGGGAAAGGCGAAAAGAACCCCGGCGAGGGGAGUGAAAAAGAACCUGAAACCGUGUACGUACAAGCAGUGGGAGCACCUUCGGGUGUGACUGCGUACCUUUUGUAUAAUGGGUCAGCGACUUAUAUUCUGUAGCAAGGUUAACCGUAUAGGGGAGCCGCAGGGAAACCGAGUCUUAACUGGGCGUUAAGUUGCAGGGUAUAGACCCGAAACCCGGUGAUCUAGCCAUGGGCAGGUUGAAGGUUGGGUAACACUAACUGGAGGACCGAACCGACUAAUGUUGAAAAAUUAGCGGAUGACUUGUGGCUGGGGGUGAAAGGCCAAUCAAACCGGGAGAUAGCUGGUUCUCCCCGAAAGCUAUUUAGGUAGCGCCUCGUGAAUUCAUCUUCGGGGGUAGAGCACUGUUUCGGCUAGGGGGUCAUCCCGACUUACCAACCCGAUGCAAACUACGAAUACCGAAGAAUGUUAUCACGGGAGACACACGGCGGGUGCUAACGUCCGUCGUGAAGAGGGAAACAACCCAGACCGCCAGCUAAGGUCCCAAAGUCAUGGUUAAGUGGGAAACGAUGUGGGAAGGCACAGACAGCCAGGAUGUUGGCUUAGAAGCAGCCAUCAUUUAAAGAAAGCGUAAUAGCUCACUGGUCGAGUCGGCCUGCGCGGAAGAUGUAACGGGGCUAAACCAUGCACCGAAGCUGCGGCAGCGACACUAUGUGUUGUUGGGUAGGGGAGCGUUCUGUAAGCCUGCGAAGGUGACCUGUGAGGGUUGCUGGAGGUAUCAGAAGUGCGAAUGCUGACAUAAGUAACGAUAAAGCGGGUGAAAAGCCCGCUCGCCGGAAGACCAAGGGUUCCUGUCCAACGUUAAUCGGGGCAGGGUGAGUCGACCCCUAAGGCGAGGCCGAAAGGCGUAGUCGAUGGGAAACAGGUUAAUAUUCCUGUACUUGGUGUUACUGCGAAGGGGGGACGGAGAAGGCUAUGUUAGCCGGGCGACGGUUGUCCCGGUUUAAGCAUGUAGGCUGGUUAUCCAGGCAAAUCCGGAUAAUCAAGGCUGAGGUGUGAUGACGAGGCACUACGGUGCUGAAGUAACAAAUGCCCUGCUUCCAGGAAAAGCCUCUAAGCAUCAGGUAACAUCAAAUCGUACCCCAAACCGACACAGGUGGUCAGGUAGAGAAUACCAAGGCGCUUGAGAGAACUCGGGUGAAGGAACUAGGCAAAAUGGUGCCGUAACUUCGGGAGAAGGCACGCUGGUGUGUAGGUGAAGUCCCUGCGGAUGGAGCUGAGACCAGUCGAAGAUACCAGCUGGCUGCAACUGUUUAUUAAAAACACAGCACUGUGCAAACACGAAAGUGGACGUAUACGGUGUGACGCCUGCCCGGUGCCGGAAGGUUAAUUGAUGGGGUUAUCCGUAAGGAGAAGCUCUUGAUCGAAGCCCCGGUAAACGGCGGCCGUAACUAUAACGGUCCUAAGGUAGCGAAAUUCCUUGUCGGGUAAGUUCCGACCUGCACGAAUGGCGUAAUGAUGGCCAGGCUGUCUCCACCCGAGACUCAGUGAAAUUGAACUCGCUGUGAAGAUGCAGUGUACCCGCGGCAAGACGGAAAGACCCCGUGAACCUUUACUAUAGCUUGACACUGAACAUUGAGCCUUGAUGUGUAGGAUAGGUGGGAGGCUUUGAAGCGUGGACGCCAGUCUGCGUGGAGCCAACCUUGAAAUACCACCCUUUAAUGUUUGAUGUUCUAACGUUGGCCCCUGACCGGGGUUGCGGACAGUGUCUGGUGGGUAGUUUGACUGGGGCGGUCUCCUCCCAAAGCGUAACGGAGGAGCACGAAGGUUAGCUAAUCCUGGUCGGACAUCAGGAGGUUAGUGCAAUGGCAUAAGCUAGCUUGACUGCGAGCGUGACGGCGCGAGCAGGUGCGAAAGCAGGUCAUAGUGAUCCGGUGGUUCUGAAUGGAAGGGCCAUCGCUCAACGGAUAAAAGGUACUCCGGGGAUAACAGGCUGAUACCGCCCAAGAGUUCAUAUCGACGGCGGUGUUUGGCACCUCGAUGUCGGCUCAUCACAUCCUGGGGCUGAAGUAGGUCCCAAGGGUAUGGCUGUUCGCCAUUUAAAGUGGUACGCGAGCUGGGUUUAGAACGUCGUGAGACAGUUCGGUCCCUAUCUGCCGUGGGCGCUGGAGAAUUGAGGGGGGCUGCUCCUAGUACGAGAGGACCGGAGUGGACGCAUCACUGGUGUUCGGGUUGUCAUGCCAAUGGCACUGCCCGGUAGCUAAAUGCGGAAGAGAUAAGUGCUGAAAGCAUCUAAGCACGAAACUUGCCCCGAGAUGAGUUCUCCCUGAGACUUUAAGUCUCCUGAAGGAACGUUGAAGACGACGACGUUGAUAGGCCGGGUGUGUAAGCGCAGCGAUGCGUUGAGCUAACCGGUACUAAUGAACCGUGAGGCUUAACCUUACAACGCCGAAG
Molecule: ribosomal RNA, 2923 nt
Filed under: Klebsiella pneumoniae
Lineage: Bacteria; Pseudomonadati; Pseudomonadota; Gammaproteobacteria; Enterobacterales; Enterobacteriaceae
Description: 23S ribosomal RNA
Rfam family: Bacterial large subunit ribosomal RNA
Source: RNAcentral